RNAcentral lists this small nuclear RNA (107 nucleotides) under Castor canadensis (American beaver). The record is from RNAcentral. Lineage: Eukaryota; Metazoa; Chordata; Mammalia; Rodentia; Castoridae.
GUACAUACUUCGACAGCACACCUAUUAAAAUUGGAGCGAUACAGAGAAGAUUAACAUGGAACCUGUGGAAGGAUGACAUGCAAAUUUGUGAAACGUUCCAAAUUAAA